RNAcentral lists this unclassified non-coding RNA (888 nucleotides) under Hevea brasiliensis (rubber tree). Lineage: Eukaryota; Viridiplantae; Streptophyta; Magnoliopsida; Malpighiales; Euphorbiaceae. The record is from RNAcentral.
AAGAUUGUUGAUAAGGACAUGUAAUGGAUGUCUAAUAAGUUCAAAAGUCCCAAAACAGUCUAAAAGUUCAUCUAACACCAUAUCAUCUCCUAUUUACACUUUUUGACCAAUUGCAAUCACAAUUUACCCUUGAGAAAGCUAAUGCAUAAUUUCUUCCAUUGCUCCCUGUCUGGUUCACACUCUUCAACCUUUGCCUUGGCCACAUCAGCCAUGCUCUCCUCAAUAAGGUUGUGUUGAAGAAGACGAUCGAUGAGAUGGAGAAGAAUGUCUUUGGUGUAUUCAGGGUGACCUUGAAUGCCCAUUAUAUGAUCACCAUAUCUAAACAUUUCAAUUCCAGUUUUGUUGGACCAUGCCAUUACCUCUGCCUUUGGUGGAAGUUCACGGAUCUCAUCGCGAUGACACUCGAUAAUUUGCAAAAAUGCAGGUAAUUUGAGAGAGUUGAAUUGCUUUGACGUUGAUAAAUUAACAGUAGUCACACCAAUGUCCCAACCAUUAGUAGCUCUCUCUAUAGUGCCACCCAAUGAUCGUCCUAAUAUCUGGUGUCCAAAGCAAAUACCCAAAACUUUCUUCUUCAUUGAAUCAAUUUUUUUGAGCAGAUUGAGUAACUUGCAGAUCCACAAAUCAUUACCAUGCGCGUCAUUGCAACUUCCGGUGAUUACAAAUCCAUCGAAUUCUCCGAUCUCAUCAUCCGUCGGAAACUCGCCAUGAGCCACCCGGAAAAAGUCCCACGUUUCCCCUUCCUCCGCCAGCAUUCUCACGAAAACCCCGAAAUAACCCCCGUAUUUCUUCUUCACGUAUUCUGAAUCCUCUGCACAUAAUAGAACUGCAAAUUUUUUUCCUUCCAUUAUUAAUUAAUUACAGAUUUUUCAGAAAUAAAGAAGAAGAAAU